CAUCAGGGCACACCUAUACAGUGGACAUGGAGUUGGAGCUCAGCACUUGUCCACCAGGCAGCAGUAGUGCAAAAUUCCAACAUCACCUCCAUCAACUUUCUCCCCACAACAGCUGAAAUGAGGGCUGAGCUGCUGAAAAUAACAAAAGAGUCACAUCAGCUGGACCUGUCUUCCACCAUCUCUGCACAAUUGCGCCAAACAUCACCUAUGCAAGAGGACUCAUACUCCAACCAACCCUGUGUACAGGGUAACUCAGAGGGAGCACCUUUACCUCAGUCUCCUGUGAGACGGAUGCUGGGACUGCUCAGUGAAAUGGCUGAAAACUCAGACUACAGUGAUGCCAUGACUACAAUGGCCAAGCAGCUUGAAAAGAUGCAGCACAACCCGACCCAAAUGAUCUCCGCAUUUUACUGCUUUGAAAGGGAUGACUGUGUCAAAACGUGCAGCAGCGUGUGUAUAUAUAUAUAUAAUUAAA
This 475-nucleotide long non-coding RNA is filed under the name Sinocyclocheilus grahami. RNAcentral's name for it is "lncRNA (ENSSGRG00000051967.1)". Lineage: Eukaryota; Metazoa; Chordata; Actinopteri; Cypriniformes; Cyprinidae. The record is from RNAcentral.